RNAcentral lists this long non-coding RNA (1113 nucleotides) under Lepisosteus oculatus (spotted gar). RNAcentral's name for it is "lncRNA (ENSLOCG00000022354.1)". The record is from RNAcentral. Lineage: Eukaryota; Metazoa; Chordata; Actinopteri; Semionotiformes; Lepisosteidae.
CACCAACAUCCACAUUAUUUGAGUUUCUCACAGCUGUACUGAUCCUAUUCAAAUUCUGUUCUUCUGUCUAACACAAUCGUCUUUGGCAGUGUCACCAUCACAGUAUUCCAAAACAGAGUAUUUCACACUGUGCUGGAGACACCAGCAGGAACUUGACUGAAAAUUUCGGAAUUGCCUAUGUUUUUUUCUUCAAACUUUGCCCGUCCAAUUGGUGAUCUGCUAAACGUGUAUUGAGAAUAUUCAAAUCAGGCACAGGAUAAAUACUAGAUCAGCAGUCGCAGAAGAGAUCGUGCAGAUCUCUAGGCUUGUACGUAUCAUUUCCAAAAUAUCAAGCUUAAACUAUUGAAAUGGGUCUCCGUCUGCUUGUUCUGUCUGUCCUCUUAAGGACCCUGGCUACAGCUGAGCCUCUCCAGUACCAAUGCGAGUGUCACUUUCGAAUUCUAGAUGGGCAGCUCCGCAAACCCUUUCUCAUCCUUCCGGGCCCUGUGGUAGAGACCAGCGGAGGGCCGUGUGAUGCAGAGUUGAUCUGCAAGGUCCCCUGUCAGUCUAUCCUUGCUGGGUACCAGGUGACUCAUGACGUAGCAGAGCAAGCCUGUGCCACAGCAUCUCCUCCUCCUCUGGGCAACUGGGAGUUUGCGAAGUUCAGUAUGGUGAAGGACAAUGUCUGCACGUCUCAGGUGUUGGAUCCCAUUCUGAUGACAUUCACCUGUGGAGACGGGAAAGUAGUAAAGCAUACUCCUGUGACCCUGGACAACUUUAUUCUGCAUGGUGCAACAAGACUUCUGCUUGAAAAUGAAAACUGAGCGUUUCAUUUGGAACCUUUCUGAAAAAGAAAUAAAACAACUUUUGAUUGCACCUUCAAUAAUUAAACACAAUAAAGAAAAAUCAAUAAAAUCCCAAAAGUGUUGGUUGUGGUAUGAAAAUUUCUUGUCUCUUCCUCAUUGUACAAAUAAUAUCCACAGACAAGGUACUUAUCUCCUUAUCUGGAGAUAAGGCACAGAUGAAGUUUUACUUAAUAAAACAUUUAAUAAUAAUUCCAUUAGAAAACUGCUGUCAUGGUUGACAUCCCUCCUCUAGAGGGCGCUCCACAACUCUCUUGUCAUUAGAUCCGUG